UGGGGAUGUAGCUCAGUGGUAUAGCGCAGGCUUAGCAUGCAUGAGGUCCUUGGUUUCAUUCCCAGUACUAA
Molecule: transfer RNA, 71 nt
Filed under: Marmota monax (woodchuck)
Lineage: Eukaryota; Metazoa; Chordata; Mammalia; Rodentia; Sciuridae
Description: tRNA.Ala
Rfam family: tRNA (bases 2-64)
About the family: Transfer RNA (tRNA) molecules are approximately 80 nucleotides in length. Their secondary structure includes four short double-helical elements and three loops (D, anti-codon, and T loops). Further hydrogen bonds mediate the characteristic L-shaped molecular structure. tRNAs have two regions of fundamental functional importance: the anti-codon, which is responsible for specific mRNA codon recognition, and the 3' end, to which the tRNAs corresponding amino acid is attached (by aminoacyl-tRNA synthetases). tRNAs cope with the degeneracy of the genetic code in two manners: having more than one tRNA (with a specific anti-codon) for a particular amino acid; and 'wobble' base-pairing, i.e. permitting non-standard base-pairing at the 3rd anti-codon position.
Source: RNAcentral